UACGUAGGGUGCGAGCGUUAAUCGGAAUUACUGGGCGUAAAGCGUGCGCAGGCGGUUAUUUAAGUCAGGUGUGAAAGCCCUGGGCUUAACCUAGGAAUUGCGCUUGAGACUGGAUAGCUUGGAGUGCGGCAGAGGGAGGUGGAAUUCCACGUGUAGCAGUGAAAUGCGUAGAGAUGUGGAGGAAUACCGAUGGCGAAGGCAGCCCCCUGGGC
RNAcentral lists this ribosomal RNA (212 nucleotides) under uncultured bacterium. RNAcentral describes it as "partial 16S ribosomal RNA". It matches the Rfam family "Bacterial small subunit ribosomal RNA", at positions 524 to 734 of the family's 1533-position model. The record is from RNAcentral.